Molecule: long non-coding RNA, 2475 nt
Filed under: Sus scrofa (pig)
Lineage: Eukaryota; Metazoa; Chordata; Mammalia; Artiodactyla; Suidae
Description: lncRNA (ENSSSCG00000061641.1)
Source: RNAcentral
UUUUGUUUUUGUUUUUUCUUUUUUUGAAAGUCUGGUUUUAUUUGAACGUAGUCCCCACUUGACAAUAUCUGCCAACAGCUUUGAGACUAUCAACAUUUUUUUCCUCCUCCCUUUCAUGUAUUCAUUCAACAAGUAUUUCUUGAGAGCCUGGUACUGCUGUUAGCACGGGGGCAUACUGCUAGGACAGAAUGGGAGUUCCCAUUGUGGCACAGCAGAAAUGAAUCUGACUAGGAACCAUAAGGUUGUGGGUUCAAUCCCUGGCCUCGAUCAGUGGUUAAGGAUGCAGCGUUGCCAUGAGCUGUGGUGUAGGUUGCAAUGAGGCUUGGAUCUGGCAUUGCUGUGACUGUGGGGGAGGCCGGCAGCUGUAGCUCUGAUUAGACUCCUAGCCUGGGAACCUCCAUAUGUUGUAGGUGCAGCCCUAAAAAAAAAAAAAAAAGACAAAAGACAAAUAAAUAAAUAAGUAAUAAAAUAAAAUAAAAUUGCAUGUAGGGAAAGGGCUGACUUUGGUCUGGAAGGGCCACUCCGAGGAAGUGACAUUUAAGCCAAAACUUGAAGACUGAAAAGAAACCCCCCAUGCAUGACAGACAUGGAGGUGGGGUGAGCAGUAUAUUGGGCAGAGAGACAAGCAAGUUCCAAGAAGCAGGAACACCUGUCCUUGAGGACAUAAAGUUGGCCACAGUUCCUGGAACAUAGGGGAUGAUAUAUAGAAGGGACUCAAGAGAUAUUUAGAGGCAAAUAGUGAGAAACUUCAUUUAAUCAGAAAGGACAUAUAUGCUGCAACACUGAAGUGUGGAAGGUGGGGUGGAAACCGGAUGUGGCAAAUGCUAUGAGAUAGGCGAUUGUUUCCAAUCUCUCGGGCUGUGCUGUUUCCACUUGCUUUCCCAACCCCUCCCGUGUCCCUGCCCUGGCAGCUAGAAACAUCUGAGACCCGGUUCUAGCCUCUGAUCCUAAGCAGAAAUCUGCUAGAAGCUUCCCAGGGAAGUUUGUUUUCCUGAUAAAGAGAAUGAAACUGCAGCAUCUUUCUUUUUGCCUUUAACUUGGAUGUGAUGCCUGGGGCUGCAGCAACCAUUUUGUAACUUGGAGGGAAGGAAAAAGAAUCACAAAGACAGACAAGCCAUUUAUCCUCACUUCCCUCCAGAUUUGGCUUAUAUGUGAAUAAUGGUCCCCAUUUAUUUAAGAUACAGCUACUUGGGUUUUCUAUUAUUUGUUGUCAAAAGCAUCCCUGGGCUGGUACAGAAGUAAGGAAUUGGGGUUGGAGAGACGUGAAUAACGGUAUGGGUGAAUCUGAGUUCAAACACAGCAGAGCCUUGAUAUUCGGAGCACCAGGUGUGGAAGAGGCAUCCUUAAUGGUAAAGGGAACCUACUCCUUGCUUGCCCAUCUCUGUCUCAAGUUCCAUAUUUAUCUAGAAGGGCUACGGGGAAGUGAAUCAUGAUCGACACAGAUCCUUUUUUAUCUUGUGAUCCUUAUUUCCACCAAAAGCCAGUUUGGUGGACUCGUGUAACCACCCAAGAAAGACUGCUUUCUGGGGUGAAAUUCAUGUGUUCAUUGAACCAAGAUGGAGACAGAGUCAAAGGUGUUAAAGAGUGAGAGAAAGUUUUUUAGCUCGAGCCCUGAAGAGGCCCUCGUGCUGUAUCCCCUGGGUUUCCAGGGUUUGAGGUACAUGGAAACGAUAAAUGUUUUGUGGAACAAGAAAGAAAAACUAUGAGGAUGUGCCAGUUCUUUGCACAAUGUUAGAAGAAGAAAGGAAAAAGAACAUUUAUUCAGUGUUUUGUGUUCUCCCAAGAGGCCCACAUAAAUCCUUGUUAAGCGAAGGAAUGCAUUGAAAUAGAAAUCAUACAAUGGCCACAAACUUGAGAUUUCCUGGAGCUGAGGCCUCAGAAAUGUGAUGGUUGAAAGCACAAACCACAUGGAUGGGAUGAAUACGGGAGCCCUGGGCUCCUAGAAUCCAACAUCAGAGCCACCCCGAUUCUGCCCUCUUAAUCCAGUCCCAGCUGAGGUCAAGGUCCAUUUGGGCCAAGAGAAGCCACCAGGCCCCAGGGGAAGGAACCAGCGCUGCUGUUCAGAGGCCGAAUGCACAGCUCUCUGCUUGUGGUGCACUGAUAUUCAAUCAACAAACAUUUGUUGAAGACCUAUUAUGUGUCCAUACUGUCUUGGGUGCUGAAAAUCAUCUGAGAGCAAAAGCUUAUUAACAUAAAAGAUGACUGUCAAGGUAGCUGCCAGACCUGAGAAUCAAGGACAUCAUAAAGGGGAGUUCCUGUUGUGGCUCAGCCGGUUAAGAACCUGACUAGUAUCCAUGAGGAUACAGGUUCGAUCCCUGGCCUCGCUCAGUGGGUUAAGGAUCUGAUGUUGCUCUGAGCUGUGGUGUAGGUCGCAGAUAAGGCUCAGCUUUCUGGUCGCUGUGGCUGUGGCAUAGGCUGGCAGCUGCAGCUUGAUUUGACCCCUAGCCUGAACUUCCAUAUGCUUCACUCUCAGCC